Non-coding RNA from Ciona savignyi (Pacific transparent sea squirt), 72 nucleotides. The record is from Rfam. NCBI's taxonomy places the organism in Eukaryota, Metazoa, Chordata, Ascidiacea, Phlebobranchia, Cionidae.
UCCCAGGUGGUCUAGUGGUUAGGAUUCGUGGCUCUCACCCACGCGGCCCUGGUUCGAUUCCUGGUUUGGGAA